RNAcentral lists this ribosomal RNA (468 nucleotides) under uncultured bacterium. RNAcentral describes it as "bacterial SSU rRNA". It matches the Rfam family "Bacterial small subunit ribosomal RNA", at positions 26 to 507 of the family's 1533-position model. The record is from RNAcentral.
CGAGGACGAACGCUGGCGGCGUGCCUAACACAUGCAAGUCGAACGGAGUGAUGACUUCGGUUAUCACUUAGUGGCGAACGGGUGAGUAACGCGUGAGGAACCUGCCUCUCAGUGGGGGACAACAGUUGGAAACGACUGCUAAUACCGCAUAACACUUUAGUACCGCAUGGUACAGAAGUCAAAGCUUAAUGUGCUGAGAGAUGGUCUCGCGUCUGAUUAGCUAGAUGGCGGGGUAACGGCCCACCAUGGCGACGAUCAGUAGCCGGUCUGAGAGGAUGAACGGCCACAUUGGGACUGAGAUACGGCCCAGACUCCUACGGGAGGCAGCAGUGGGGAAUAUUGGGCAAUGGGGGAAACCCUGACCCAGCAACGCCGCGUGAAGGAAGAAGGCCUUCGGGUUGUAAACUUCUUUUAGCAGGGACGAAGAACGUGACGGUACCUGCAGAAAAAGCAACGGCUAACUACGUG